Molecule: ribosomal RNA, 432 nt
Filed under: uncultured bacterium
Lineage: Bacteria
Description: partial 16S ribosomal RNA
Rfam family: Bacterial small subunit ribosomal RNA
Source: RNAcentral
AACGAACGCUGGCGGCAUGCCUAACACAUGCAAGUCGAACGAGACCUUCGGGUCUAGUGGCGCACGGGUGCGUAACGCGUGGGAACCUGCCCUUAGGUUCGGAAUAACUCCCCGAAAGGGGUGCUAAUACCGGAUAAUGUCUUCGGACCAAAGAUUUAUCGCCUUUGGAUGGGCCCGCGUUGGAUUAGCUAGUUGGUAGGGUAAAAGCCUACCAAGGCGACGAUCCAUAGCUGGUCUGAGAGGAUGAUCAGCCACACUGGGACUGAGACACGGCCCAGACUCCUACGGGAGGCAGCAGUGGGGAAUAUUGGACAAUGGGCGAAAGCCUGAUCCAGCAAUGCCGCGUGAGUGAUGAAGGCCUUAGGGUUGUAAGGCUCUUUUACCCGGGAUGAUAAUGACAGUACCGGGAGAAUAAGCUCCGGCUAACUCCGU